CACAAGAUGGCAGCCUCCGCUGUUUGACGCUGAUUUAACGGCAGCUUGACCCACCUGCUUCAUGCACGUGAGACGAACGAGCGUGCUCAAGGACGUUGGCUUCAUCUGUGCGCGCCGGCGUCCAGCGUGCUCUUGCAGCCAUAGAGCUGGAACGUAGGAACGCAGCAUGCUGUAGCUAACCCGUUGCCAUGUGAUAUGUAGUUACCAAGCACCUGCGAUAGAUACAUGCGUUAUCGCCUAGAUAACCUUGAUCCCAGAACAGCGUAGACUGCUUAAAGCAGCAACUGCCCUGUUAGCAUGUAGUGUACAGGCUAACCGCACUCUCCUUUCCUAUCUAAUCGACAUUCCACCACCAUCCACCACCAACCUGUUAGAUCCUUUCUUUCCUGUAUGGCUCCCCAGCAGGCGAGUCAGUCAGUACUGCAAUAAAGGAACCCGUAUGUGUGUGCCUCCGAGUCCGGCUUCUCUGGGAUAUACAUAACAUAAAUGGCGACCAGUUGGUGAAGCAGUACUUCUAGCAUCAUGAUCUAUAGAGGAUACGUGCCUGUUUUAUGGAUGCUUGUGACAAGAAGAAUACCCUUCCACAGCAGUUCGACCGCAACACGCUUCCUACGACCACAAGCAUGGUUGCAGAGUGUAGGCUAUGCCGCUCUGAAGCCUUGACAUGACGAAGCGUCGUGGUGGCUGCACCUCUGCUUUCGAAAGAUGAAACAGUCUUUCCACACUGUGCUUACUGGCUUUGUAUCAAGUCUGACAAAUCCGACAGACUUUUGGACUGCCUUUUUCAAGAAAGUUUGAAAUAGCAUCCCUUAUGCACCUGCAUUUCAAUUCCAAUCUGUAUUACAAGAAUGACAGACCACUCAACAGCGAUGAACAUUUGAAGGUGAAAGAGCAGAAACGAAGAUGCGUUAAUCUGUGUGAAAGGCGCUUUGUAUGUGUCUGAUUCCUGUCUUCAGAAGAGGUGACAACUAUGCUCCUUCUAUCUACUAACCAGCUCCACUUUUUAGGGUUCCCUGUAAACUAAUGGAGCACAUCAUAGACUAGCACGUUGUCAACCAUGUUGAGUGUAUCAAUUUCUUUUUUAAAUUCUAGCAUGGUUUUAGAAAAGGGUAUUCAGGCAAAACUAACGUAGUGGAAUUCGUUCCCAGCAUUUUAAACUGUCUUGAUUUCUGGGUCCACGUAGAUGCAGUAUUUUUUUUUAUUUUGUAAGGGCUUUUGACACUACUUUAUGCUCGCGUGUUGGCCAAACUAGCCUAAUUAAAAUUUGAUCCUGCUACCAUUAACUGGAUAUGCAGUUUCUCAACUAACCGCACCCUGGCAACAACUCGUGAGGAGAAUCUAUCAUAUCGCCACCAUGCAGCAUUUGUUAUGUUACAAUCGCUUCACAUUUUAAUCUAGUCAAAAGCAAGGCAUUUUGGUGAUGGGUCCUGUAUGAUUACAUGCCCCUCCGUUAUGUAACACCACACUGGGUUCUUCAACCUAUGAGAGAUAAAUAAAUAUAUUGCCAAGUAAAUUGUUUACAAGGCUCGUUAUCCCAUUUCGCCACACUACCACAAGCAAUUGUUAGAGUAGUGGCCCAGGGUAUGAAGCUCGCCACUAAUCAUCAUUCAAACGACGUUCAUAAUGUAAAAUCCUUUACUGAGAACACCGGCUUAACACAACAAUUAAGAAAAAAGAGAGUAAACGUUCCGUUGCCUAUCCAGGUGGCAUCAUCGCUACAACAGAGAACAAUCAAAAACAACAUCAAAGGAGCCAAAUCGGUGGUGCGCAUUCCUUUCAUAGGUGUUUCAUACGCCAUUUGGAGGGCACUGUGCCCAUCAGGUAUUUUGACUGUGCAUAUCAAGUUGAGUGCAUAGAAUGUGAUGCAACCUACAUUGGCGAGAUAGACAAAAGAUGUGAGACAAGACUAAAAGAGCACACAAGGGACGUUGCCAGGGCUACUAAUGCUAUUCGAACGAGGACCGAAUUAGUCUACCAUUGCUAGCCUAAGGGACAUAUAUUUAAUUUUGAUGGUGCAGUAACCUUUGCACAGGACUAGCGAUGGGGCCCUAGAAAGUUCUUAGAGUCCUGUUUUAUCAGACGUGAUGCAUCAGCCUGUAAUACAGAUUGUGGCCCCCCCUAUCGGAUGUGUAUGAUGCCCUUUUAGAUAAGUAGGCUGGUGUGCUCGUCUUUGGCCUCUGUUGUACUGAUGAUGCCACCCGGAUAGGCGGCAAAACGUUUACGCUCUGUUUUUAAUCGUUGUGUUGAGCGGUGUUUGCAGUAAAGGACGUUACAUUAUGAGGU
Ornithodoros turicata is the source of this 2283-nucleotide long non-coding RNA. RefSeq lists it as uncharacterized. The record is from RefSeq and is a predicted model, not a curated record. The transcript has 3 exons. Lineage: Eukaryota; Metazoa; Arthropoda; Arachnida; Ixodida; Argasidae.